RNAcentral lists this ribosomal RNA (253 nucleotides) under uncultured bacterium. Its description in RNAcentral is "partial 16S ribosomal RNA". It matches the Rfam family "Bacterial small subunit ribosomal RNA", at positions 524 to 776 of the family's 1533-position model. The record is from RNAcentral.
UACGAAGGGGGCUAGCGUUGCUCGGAAUCACUGGGCGUAAAGGGUGCGUAGGCGGGUCUUUAAGUCAGGGGUGAAAUCCUGGAGCUCAACUCCAGAACUGCCUUUGAUACUGAAGAUCUUGAGUUCGGGAGAGGUGAGUGGAACUGCGAGUGUAGAGGUGAAAUUCGUAGAUAUUCGCAAGAACACCAGUGGCGAAGGCGACUCACUGGACACAUAUUGACGCUGAGGUGCGAAAGCGUGGGGAGCAAACAGG